RNAcentral lists this ribosomal RNA (274 nucleotides) under uncultured bacterium. RNAcentral describes it as "partial 16S ribosomal RNA". It matches the Rfam family "Bacterial small subunit ribosomal RNA", at positions 523 to 796 of the family's 1533-position model. The record is from RNAcentral.
AUACGAAGGGGGCGAGCGUUGUUCGGAACUACUGGGCGUAAAGAGCGUGUAGGCGGUAUUAUAAGUCAGGUGAGAAAGCCCAAGGCUCAACCUUGGAACUGCACUUGAUACUGUAAAACUAGAAUCCGAGAGAGGAUGGCGGAAUUUCCAGUGUAGAGGUGAAAUUCGUAGAUAUUGGAAGGAACACCAGUGGCGAAGGCGGCUAUCUGGCUCGGUAUUGACGCUAAGACGCGAAAGCGUGGGGAGCAAACAGGAUUAGAAACCCUAGUAGUCC